UACGUAGGGGGCAAGCGUUGUCCGGAUUUAUUGGGCGUAAAGAGCGUGUAGGCGGCUUAGUAGGUCCGCUGUGAAAACUCGAGGCUCAACCUCGAGAUGUCGGCGGAAACCACUUGGCUAGAGUCCGGAAGAGGAGAGUGGAAUUCCUGGUGUAGCGGUGAAAUGCGCAGAUAUCAGGAAGAACACCUAUGGCGAAGGCAGCUCUCUGGGACGGUACUGACGCUGAGACGCGAAAGCGUGGGGAGCGAACAGG
RNAcentral lists this ribosomal RNA (253 nucleotides) under uncultured bacterium. RNAcentral describes it as "partial 16S ribosomal RNA". It matches the Rfam family "Bacterial small subunit ribosomal RNA", at positions 524 to 776 of the family's 1533-position model. The record is from RNAcentral.